GAUGAACGCUGGCGGCGUGCCUAAUACAUGCAAGUCGAGCGAACAGACGAGGAGCUUGCUCCUCUGACGUUAGCGGCGGACGGGUGAGUAACACGUGGAUAACCUACCUAUAAGACUGGGAUAACUUCGGGAAACCGGAGCUAAUACCGGAUAAUAUAUUGAACCGCAUGGUUCAAUAGUGAAAGACGGUUUUGCUGUCACUUAUAGAUGGAUCCGCGCCGCAUUAGCUAGUUGGUAAGGUAACGGCUUACCAAGGCUACGAUGGGUAGCCGACCUGAGAGGGUGAUCGGCCACCCUGGAACUGAGACACGGUCCAGACUCCUACGGGAGGCCGCAGUAGGGACUCUUCCGCAAUGGGCGAAAGCCUGACGGAGCAACGCCGCGUGAGUGAUGAAGGUCUUCGGAUCGUAAAACUCUGUUAUUAGGGAAGAACAAAUGUGUAAGUAACUAUGCACGUCUUGACGGUACCUAAUCAGAAAGCCACGGCUAACUACGUG
Molecule: ribosomal RNA, 497 nt
Filed under: uncultured bacterium
Lineage: Bacteria
Description: partial 16S ribosomal RNA
Rfam family: Bacterial small subunit ribosomal RNA
Source: RNAcentral